CAGAAUGUAGUUUAAAAAAUAUUAAUUUUGGAGAUUAAAGUUAUUUGUAAAAAUUAUUCUGA
Molecule: transfer RNA, 62 nt
Filed under: Anomopsocus sp. AnspLA
Lineage: Eukaryota; Metazoa; Arthropoda; Insecta; Psocodea; Lachesillidae
Description: tRNA-Pro
Source: RNAcentral